UGGGGAAUUUUGGACAAUGGGCGCAAGCCUGAUCCAGCAAUGCCGCGUGAGUGAAGAAGGCCUUCGGGUUGUAAAGCUCUUUUGUCAGGGAAGAAACGGGAGUGGCUAAUAUCCAUUCUUAAUGACGGUACCUGAAGAAUAAGCACCGGCUAACUACGUGCCAGCAGCCGCGGUAAUACGUAGGGUGCAAGCGUUAAUCGGAAU
This 204-nucleotide ribosomal RNA is filed under the name uncultured Massilia sp. Its description in RNAcentral is "partial 16S ribosomal RNA". It matches the Rfam family "Bacterial small subunit ribosomal RNA", at positions 355 to 551 of the family's 1533-position model. The record is from RNAcentral. Lineage: Bacteria; Pseudomonadati; Pseudomonadota; Betaproteobacteria; Burkholderiales; Oxalobacteraceae.